UUUCUUUCAUUUACAGACAAAGUGCGACAGCUGUAGCGGGAAUUUUAGUUAUGCUAAAGAUAAGGGCUACAUGGUGGUAUUCGGCAAUUGCAACCAUUCCCUUUGUUCCGAGUGUUUUGGACAGGCUACUAGAACACACGGAUAUGUUGCGUGCUUUGUGAAAACUUGUAAAGGAAAAUCAUCUUUAUGUGACCUUGUCAAGGUAAAUUGUGCUACACGCCAGAUAUCAUGUGUAUUUUGUAAUGAAGCUCUGGAUGGAUGG
This is a long non-coding RNA of Saccostrea echinata, 262 nucleotides long. RefSeq lists it as uncharacterized. The record is from RefSeq and is a predicted model, not a curated record. NCBI's taxonomy places the organism in Eukaryota, Metazoa, Mollusca, Bivalvia, Ostreida, Ostreidae. The transcript is spliced from 3 exons.